This 232-nucleotide ribosomal RNA is filed under the name uncultured bacterium. Its description in RNAcentral is "partial 16S ribosomal RNA". It matches the Rfam family "Bacterial small subunit ribosomal RNA", at positions 104 to 334 of the family's 1533-position model. The record is from RNAcentral.
CGGGGUGAGUAACGCGUGGAUAACCUGCCUCACACAGGGGGAUAACAGUUAGAAAUGACUGCUAAUACCGCAUAAGCGCACGGUACCGCAUGGUACAGUGUGAAAAACUCCGGUGGUGUGAGAUGGAUCCGCGUCUGAUUAGGUAGUUGGUGAGGUAAUGGCCCACCAAGCCGACGAUCAGUAGCCGACCUGAGAGGGUGACCGGCCACAUUGGGACUGAGACACGGCCCAA